Molecule: non-coding RNA, 743 nt
Organism: Camellia sinensis
Lineage: Eukaryota; Viridiplantae; Streptophyta; Magnoliopsida; Ericales; Theaceae
Source: RefSeq, a predicted model, not a curated record
CCUUAACUUUGUCUGCCUGGGGGAAGGAAUAUUCAGUUGCAACUGCAACAGCCAAAACAUUUUUGUAGGCAUUGAUGAACAUGUGGGGUGCAGCUGCAAGAGUUGGGUAAGAAACAGCCAGUGACAAUGUAGUGACCAUGGAAAUUCCAGCAGCAAACUUCUCCAUGAGAUCAUCUUCGGUCAUAUCAAGAACCUCUGGGCUGAAGACUGAUCCGUUGUCAUAAACAGACAAGACAAUAAGACCAUAAGAGAAGGGGCGAAUGCCAAGUUUUGCAAGGAGGGCAGCCUCAGAAGACCCCACUUUGUCACCCUUCUUGAUAAGCUCCACAGGGGUAAUAAUCUCAACAGUACCCUUGUUAAUUUUGGUUGGAAUAUUGAGCACCUGGAAGAAAGAUGUCUGGGAAGGGUCUAGUCCAGUGUUUCCAGGAGGGACAACGACAUCACAAGGAGCUACCAAACCAACACGAGCAGGAGCUCCAACCUGUUCAAAAAAGCAGAGAUCUUUACGACUUCGGCAAAACAUACAAAUCACAAGACUUAAUUUACCAAAUGUAAUUAAAAAUUUGCAGUUUUUUGCUGAAAGCAAAUGUAAUAUAAUUUUCAUAUUCUUUACCAUGAAAGCUACUCUCACUUUUAAGUGAACUGGAUAUGUGAAUCAAAGUUCAGGUGACAUAACAUCUCUACCAGUAUCAAAUAACAAAAACUAUCAAAAUAAUAACCAAGUAAUUUUAAUCCUUGCCUCA